AGCAGCCGCGGUAAUUCCAGCUCCAAUAGCGUAUAUUAAAGUUGUUGCAGUUAAAAAGCUCGUAGUUGAAUUUCGGGAUCAGCAGGUUGGUCGUGCCUCUGGUAUGCACUGGUUUCGCUGAUUCCUCCUUUCUGAAGAACCGUAAUGUCAUUAAUUUGGUGUUGCAGGGAAACAGGACUGUUACUUUGAAAAAAUUAGAGUGUUUAAAGCAAGCUAACGCUUGAAUACAUUAGCAUGGAAUAAUGAAAUAGGACGUUUGAUCCUAUUUUGUUGGUUUCUAGGAUUGACGUAAUGAUUAAUAGGGAUAGUUGGGGGCAUUAGUAUUCAAUUGUCAGAGGUGAAAUUCUUGGAUUUAUUGAAGACUAACUACUGCGAAAGCAUUUGCCAAGGAUGUUUUCAUUAAUCAAGAACGAAAGUUAGGGGAUCGAAGACGAUCAGAUACCGUCGUAGUCUUAACCAUAAACUAUGCCGACUAGGGAUCGGGUGAUGUUAAUUUUUUAAUGACUCA
This 508-nucleotide ribosomal RNA is filed under the name uncultured fungus. RNAcentral's name for it is "SSU rRNA". It matches the Rfam family "Eukaryotic small subunit ribosomal RNA", at positions 569 to 1078 of the family's 1831-position model. Lineage: Eukaryota; Fungi. The record is from RNAcentral.